UUCCAUGGCUCAGAGGGUAAAGUGUCUGCCUGCAAUGCAGGAGACCUGGGUUUGAUCCCCGGGUUGGGAA
This 70-nucleotide transfer RNA is filed under the name Bos taurus (domestic cattle). It matches the Rfam family "tRNA". Rfam says of the family: Transfer RNA (tRNA) molecules are approximately 80 nucleotides in length. RNAcentral also lists the same sequence under 3 other names. Lineage: Eukaryota; Metazoa; Chordata; Mammalia; Artiodactyla; Bovidae. The record is from Rfam by way of RNAcentral.